UUUUAAACAUGCCCAUACAAUUAAAGAGAUAUUUGAGGAGAUGAUACCUAUAUUCUAAGAACUACUGCCAGGGUUGAAUUAAUAAAAGGAAAUUUACAAAGUGUUGGACUUACACUUCGUCUUGUCCAGUCAACUGAUGGGUAUGCUGGGCACGUCAUCAUUGAAACUGUGGCUCCAAACUCGCCUGCUGCAAUUGCAGAUCUUCAGCGGGGAGAUCGACUUAUUGCCAUUGGAGGUGUGAAAAUCACAUCAACACUGCAAGUGUUGAAGCUUAUCAAGCAGGCUGGUGACCGAGUCCUGGUGUACUAUGAAAGGCCUGUUGGCCAGAGUAAUCAAGGUGCAGUGCUGCAAGAUAACUUUGGCCAGUUGGAAGAAAACUUUUUGUCAAGCUCAUGCCAAUCGGGUUAUGAAGAGGAAGCUGCCGGGUUGACAGUAGAUACUGAAAGUAGAGAGCUGGAUUCUGAAUUUGAAGACUUGGCAAGUGAUGUCAGAGCACAAAAUGAGUUCAAAGAUGAGGCACAAUCAUUAAGUCAUAGUCCCAAACGUGUUCCAACAACACUUUCUAUUAAACCCCUUGGAGCUAUAUCACCAGUUUUAAACCGUAAAUUAGCUGUAGGAAGUCACCCACUACCACCAAAAAUUCAGUCCAAAGAUGGAAAUAAACCUCCACCCCUAAAAACUUCAGAGAUAACAGACCCAGCACAAGUGUCAAAACCAACCCAAGGAUCUGCUUUCAAACCACCUGUGCCACCACGACCACAAGUGAAAGUUCCUUUGCCUUCCGCCGAUGCUCCAAAUCAGGCAGAACCAGAUGUUCUCGUUGAAAAGCCAGAGAAGGUGGCGCCGCCUCCUCUUGUAGAUAAAUCUGCUGAAAAGCAAGCAAAAAAUGUGGAUCCCGUAGACGAUGCAGCUGCACCUAAGCAAUUUUUAGCAAAGCAAGAAGUGGCCAAAGAUGUCACUUCAGAAACUUCCUGCCCUACUAAGGACAGUUCGGACGACCGUCAAACAUGGGAAUCAUCAGAAAUUCUUUAUCGUAAUAAGCUAGGAAAAUGGACAAGAACCAGAGCAUCCUGUUUGUUUGACAUAGAAGCCUGUCACAGGUACUUAAACAUUGCAUUGUGGUGCAGGGAUCCUUUUAAGUUGGGAGGUCUCAUCUGUUUGGGGCAUGUUAGUUUAAAACUUGAAGAUGUGGCUUUAGGAUGCCUGGCUACAUCAAACACGGAAUACCUUUCCAAAUUGAGACUGGAAGCCCCCUCACCUAAGGCUAUAGUCACUAGAACAGCACUACGCAAUCUGAGUAUGCAAAAGGGAUUCAAUGACAAAUUUUGCUAUGGUGACAUUACUAUUCACUUCAAAUAUUUGAAAGAAGGAGAAUCAGACCACCAUGUAGUUACUAACGU
This 1400-nucleotide small RNA is filed under the name Pan troglodytes (chimpanzee). RNAcentral's name for it is "processed transcript". Lineage: Eukaryota; Metazoa; Chordata; Mammalia; Primates; Hominidae. The record is from RNAcentral.